RNAcentral lists this ribosomal RNA (484 nucleotides) under uncultured bacterium. Its description in RNAcentral is "partial 16S ribosomal RNA". It matches the Rfam family "Bacterial small subunit ribosomal RNA", at positions 30 to 507 of the family's 1533-position model. The record is from RNAcentral.
AUUGAACGCUGGCGGCAGGCCUAACACAUGCAAGUCGAGCGGAUGAAGGGAGCUUGCUCCUGGAUUCAGCGGCGGACGGGUGAGUAAUGCCUAGGAAUCUGCCUGGUAGUGGGGGAUAACGUCCGGAAACGGGCGCUAAUACCGCAUACGUCCUGAGGGAGAAAGUGGGGGAUCUUCGGACCUUACGCUAUCAGAUGAGCCUAGGUCGGAUUAGCUAGUUGGUGGGGUAAAGGCCUACCAAGGCGACGAUCCGUAACUGGUCUGAGAGGAUGAUCAGUCACACUGGAACGGAGACACGGUCCAGACUCCUGCGAGAGGCAGCAGUGGGGAAUGUUGGACAGUGGGCGAGAGCAUGAUCCAGCCAUGCCGCGUGUGUGAAGGAGGUCUUCGGAUUGUGAAGCACUUUUAGUUGGGGGAAAGGGCAGUAAGUUAAUACCUUGCUGUUUUGACGUUACCAACAGAAUAAGCACCGGCUAACUUCGUG